UUAGUGGCGGACGGGUGAGUAACGCGUGGAAAACCUGCCGUAUACUGGGGGAUAACACUUAGAAAUAGGUGCUAAUACCGCAUAAGCGCACGGCUUCGCAUGAAGCGGUGUGAAAAACUCUGGUGGUAUACGAUGGUUCCGCGUCUGAUUAGCUAGUUGGUGGGGUAAUGGCCUACCAAGGCAACGAUCAGUAGCCGGCCUGAGAGGGUGAACGGCCACAUUGGAACUGAGACACGGUCCAAACUCCUACGGGAGGCAGCAG
Molecule: ribosomal RNA, 262 nt
Filed under: uncultured bacterium
Lineage: Bacteria
Description: partial 16S ribosomal RNA
Rfam family: Bacterial small subunit ribosomal RNA
Source: RNAcentral